Molecule: long non-coding RNA, 303 nt
Filed under: Olea europaea (common olive)
Lineage: Eukaryota; Viridiplantae; Streptophyta; Magnoliopsida; Lamiales; Oleaceae
Description: long non-coding RNA (OEUR_LNC003727)
Source: RNAcentral
AGAAAUUGCUUUUGAAAACAAGAAAUUCAUUUUGAGGGUCUAGUCUGACGGCGAAAGAAGAAAUUCAACAACUUGGGGUCCAACGAAUGAGAUCGGUAUCAUAGCAUCUUUGAAUAUAUGCAGGCCGAGCUUUGAAAACAGUCAUCGAAGAUCAUCAUGGUGGGCUUUUCCGGUAGGUAGCAUCGAUGAUCGGACAAGGACUGUCUCGACGACAUUGAUAGCGACGACUGAUUUAGAAAUAAAGUGAGAGAUGCAGUUGAGAGAGAUGGGAUGAGAGAGAAACAUCAUGAAAAUGAAAAUUUA